This 204-nucleotide unclassified non-coding RNA is filed under the name Hevea brasiliensis (rubber tree). The record is from RNAcentral. Lineage: Eukaryota; Viridiplantae; Streptophyta; Magnoliopsida; Malpighiales; Euphorbiaceae.
AAAGCAUCAAGGUACCAAGAGCAUUUGUCCUUCCAUGAACUCCUGCUAGCAUGAGCUCGCCAUUUUUGGUCUGAAAUCAUUUCAGGGGAUAGUCCCCAUUCCAGCAUCUCUUCUUCAGUAUGGUGGACUGCUAAGCUGUAUUCACCACCGAGCCCUAAUUGUAGAACUCGAAAUCCACAAUUUCCUAAAUUGUUUAGAUACUCA